AGUGAACGCUGGCGGUAGGCCUAACACAUGCAAGUCGAACGGCAGCACAGUAAGAGCCUGCUCUUACGGGUGGCGAGUGGCGGACGGGUGAGGAAUAUAUCGGAAUCUACUUUUUCGUGGGGGAUAACGUAGGGAAACUUACGCUAAUACCGCAUACGACCUACGGGUGAAAGCAGGGGAUCUUCGGACCUUGCGCGAUUGAAUGAGCCGAUGUCGGAUUAGCUAGUUGGCGGGGUAAAGGCCCACCAAGGCGACGAUCCGUAGCUGGUCUGAGAGGAUGAUCAGCCACACUGGAGCUGAGACACGGUCCAGACUCCUACGGGAGGCAGCAGUGGGGAAUAUUGGACAAUGGGCGCAAGCCUGAUCCAGCCAUACCGCGUGGGUGAAGAAGGCCUUCGGGUUGUAAAGCCCUUUUGUUGGGAAAGAAAAGCAGCAGGUUAAUACCCCGCUGUUCUGACGGUACCCAAAGAAUAAGCACCGGCUAACUUCGUG
This 492-nucleotide ribosomal RNA is filed under the name uncultured bacterium. Its description in RNAcentral is "partial 16S ribosomal RNA". It matches the Rfam family "Bacterial small subunit ribosomal RNA", at positions 29 to 507 of the family's 1533-position model. The record is from RNAcentral.